GGGUGCGAUCAUACCCAAUAAUGCACCGGAUCCCAUCAGAACUCCGAAGUUAAGCUUGCUUGGGCGAGAGCAGUACUAGGAUGGGUGACCUCCUGGAAGUCCUCGUGUUGCACCCCUC
RNAcentral lists this ribosomal RNA (118 nucleotides) under Rosa chinensis. Lineage: Eukaryota; Viridiplantae; Streptophyta; Magnoliopsida; Rosales; Rosaceae. The record is from RNAcentral.